GCAGCUUGCUGCUUCGCUGACGAGUGGCGGACGGGUGAGUAAUGUCUGGGAAACUGCCUGAUGGAGGGGGAUAACUACUGGAAACGGUAGCUAAUACCGCAUAACGUCGCAAGACCAAAGAGGGGGACCUUCGGGCCUCUUGCCAUCAGAUGUGCCCAGAUGGGAUUAGCUAGUAGGUGGGGUAACGGCUCACCUAGGCGACGAUCCCUAGCUGGUCUGAGAGGAUGACCAGCCACACUGGAACUGAGACACGGUCCAGACUCCUACGGGAGGCAGCAGUGGGGAAUAUUGCACAAUGGGCGCAAGCCUGAUGCAGCCAUGCCGCGUGUAUGAAGAAGGCCUUCGGGUUGUAAAGUACUUUCAGCGGGGAGGAAGGCGAUGCGGUUAAUAACCGCGUCGAUUGACGUUACCCGCAGAAGAAGCACCGGCUAACUCCGUGCCAGCAGCCGCGGUAAUACGGAGGGUGCAAGCGUUAAUCGGAAUUACUGGGCGUAAAGCGCACGCAGGCGGUCUGUCAAGUCGGAUGUGAAAUCCCCGGGCUCAACCUGGGAACUGCAUCCGAAACUGGCAGGCUUGAGUCUCGUAGAGGGGGGUAGAAUUCCAGGUGUAGCGGUGAAAUGCGUAGAGAUCUGGAGGAAUACCGGUGGCGAAGGCGGCCCCCUGGACGAAGACUGACGCUCAGGUGCGAAAGCGUGGGGAGCAAACAGGAUUAGAUACCCUGGUAGUCCACGCCGUAAACGAUGUCGACUUGGAGGUUGUGCCCUUGAGGCGUGGCUUCCGGAGCUAACGCGUUAAGUCGACCGCCUGGGGAGUACGGCCGCAAGGUUAAAACUCAAAUGAAUUGACGGGGGCCCGCACAAGCGGUGGAGCAUGUGGUUUAAUUCGAUGCAACGCGAAGAACCUUACCUGGUCUUGACAUCCACAGAACUUGGCAGAGAUGCCUUGGUGCCUUCGGGAACUGUGAGACAGGUGCUGCAUGGCUGUCGUCAGCUCGUGUUGUGAAAUGUUGGGUUAAGUCCCGCAACGAGCGCAACCCUUAUCCUUUGUUGCCAGCGGUUAGGCCGGGAACUCAAAGGAGACUGCCAGUGAUAAACUGG
Molecule: ribosomal RNA, 1097 nt
Filed under: Enterobacteriaceae bacterium
Lineage: Bacteria; Pseudomonadati; Pseudomonadota; Gammaproteobacteria; Enterobacterales; Enterobacteriaceae
Description: bacterial SSU rRNA
Rfam family: Bacterial small subunit ribosomal RNA
Source: RNAcentral